This 1154-nucleotide long non-coding RNA is filed under the name Pogona vitticeps (central bearded dragon). RNAcentral describes it as "lncRNA (ENSPVIG00000001886.1)". Lineage: Eukaryota; Metazoa; Chordata; Lepidosauria; Squamata; Agamidae. The record is from RNAcentral.
AUGCAUGGUCUUGUCUACAUGUUCUUUGUUGAAAUACAUUUUCAGAAAGGUUGGGAGAAGUUUUCACAAAUUUUGUGUGUCUUAUACACCCAUUAUCCUACUGUCAAACCUGUCUUAUAUACCAUCACAAUCUUCAUCGUUGACACCAUGACAAAUUAAGGCAGACAGAAACUAUAUCUUCUACGUUUAAGGGCAACGUCUGCUCAAAGUGGAACUGUUCAAAUUACUUCCUGCUUUAACAAUGACAGGAAACUCUUUGUGUCCUUUGUUGCAUGCAGUUGCCCUAACUAUGGAUAUGAGCAGCUACAGAGCAAAGUGCAGCUGGUCAUUUAGAAAUGGGAAGAGGCAGAGCAGUCAGGAAGUCGGGUACUAGGGGAAGGCCUAAGCAAAAAAGAGAAUUUCAGUUUCAAAAUGCCUGAUAAACAGUUUGAGUAUCACUAGGUUUCUAAAGAGCAAGCAAAUUGAGCAAAUGCUAAUUAUUCCCCUUGGCAUCUGCAUAUCGGAGGUUGUUGAUAUUAGGUUGUUAACUAGGUUUAUAUGGGUGCCCAUAUCAGAUAUCUUUGGGCUAUCUCACAAAAUAGAUGCACCAUCAAGGAUAGAACAAUGACUGUGAUUACAAAGCAAAACAAAAAACAAAUACAGAUUGGUGGGAGAUGCAGAAUGCCCCAGUGAAUGAAAAAAAAGCCAGCAACUUGUGCUGACUAGAUGGUGACCAAUAGUUUUUCCUUGGAGAUAGUUCCAUAACUAAAGGGUAAACUAUCAUACAAGUCCUCCCUACAGCAGUCAGCCGGAGGGCUCCAACAAACCUCAGCAUCUUCUCCGCUUCUGCUUUGUUGAUGAUGGUUGACUGUGGUAAGUCAGAGGUGUCUGAAUGAUAUGGAAAUGGCACUGAUGAGGCAGUUUGGUGAGGAGAGGAAGAGAUUUAACAAUGUCAAGUCAUUACAUCUUGGGGGUGUGUGAAGGGAAAAAAAGCUUCUACAUUGUCCAGCAGGUAUAAAUCACCACCACCAGCAAAACAACAGCUGCCGAGAGUGCUACAAUUUUGCGAUUCUCCUGAUGAAGAAUUUUAAGUUCUUUUUCUGAAAAGAAGAAAUACACUUAGGUGAGUUGCUACUUUCACUUCAAAAUAAACCACAACCACUUUUUAAAUAUCA